This 2929-nucleotide ribosomal RNA is filed under the name marine sediment metagenome. RNAcentral describes it as "bacterial LSU rRNA". It matches the Rfam family "Bacterial large subunit ribosomal RNA". The record is from RNAcentral.
GUAAGGGCUGCUGGUGGAUGCCUUGGUAUCGACAGGCGAAGAAGGACGCGUUAAUUUUAGCGAAAAGCCUCGGGGAGUUAAAAAGAGACUAUGAUCCGGGGGUCUCCGAAUGGGCCAACCCGAUAGAGCAAACCUCUAUCAUCUACAUCUGAAUUCAUAGGAUGUAAGAAGUAAACCCGCCGAAGGAAAACAUUUCAGUAAGCGGAGGAAAAUAAAUCAAACGAGAUUCCCUUAGUAGCGGCGAGCGAAAGGGGAGAAGCCCAAACCUAAAUAUUUAUAUUUAGGGGUUGUAGGACUAGCGCUGUGGUAUUUUUAUUUUAGCUAAACUGUCUGGAAAGUCAGACCAAAGCAGGUGAAAGUCCUUUAAGCGAAAAGAUAAAAAUGCCUAGUUAGUAUCCUGAGUAGGACCAGACACGGGAAACCUGGUCUGAAUCUGGGGGGACCACCCUCCAAGGCUAAAUACUCGUCGAUAACCGAUAGCGGACAAGUACCGUGAGGGAAAGGUGAAAAGAACCCUUGUUAAGGGAGUGAAAUAGAACCUGAAACCAGUAGCUUACAAGCGGUCAGAGGCCUAUGUACUUUUUUAAAGUAAACGGCUGAUGGCGUGCCUUUUGCAUGAUGAGCCAGCGAGUUAUAUUUUAUGGCAAGGUUAAGAAAUUUUCAUUUCGAAGCCGAAGGGAAACCGAGUGUGAAUAGCGCGAAUUAGUCAUAUAGUAUAGACACGAAGCCAAGUGAUCUAUCCAUGGCCAGGUUGAAGCAGAGGUAACACUCUGUGAAGGACCGAACCAGUUGAUGUUGAAAAAUCUUUGGAUGAGCUGUGGAUAGGGGUGAAAGGCCAAUCAAACUCGGAAAUAUCUUGUUCUCUCCGAAAUAACUUUAGGGUUAGCCUCAAGCAAUUACUUUUAGGGGUAGAGCACUGGAUCCACGCGGGGACCUACCGGUCUACCAAAGGGAACCAAACUCCGAAUACUAAAAGUUAGCUUGGGAGAUAGACAGUGGGGGAUAAGCUUCAUUGUCGAGAGGGGAACAGCCCAGAUUGUCGAUUAAGGUCUCUAAUUCUAUGCUAAGUGUGUAAGGAUGUGAAGUUUCAAAAACAGUUGGGAUGUUGGCUUAGAGGCAGCAACCAUUUAAAGAGUGCGUAACAGCUCACCAAUCGAGAGACUUUGCGCCGAAAAUAAUCGAGACUAAAGCAUAGAGCCGAAAUCACAAAUUCAUAAUUUAUUAUGAGUGGUAGGAGAGCGUAGUAUUUUCGUUGAAGCCGUACCGCAAGGAGCGGUGGAGAGUAUACUAGUGAAGAUGCAUGGCAUGAGUACACGAUAAAAAAGGUGAGAAUCCUUUUCGCCGAAAACCUAAGGUUUCCAGGGUAAAGUUCGUCUUCCCUGGGUUAGCCGGUCCCUUAGUCGAGGCUGAAAGGCGUAGAUGAUGGGAAGCAGGUUAAAUAUUCCUGCGCCUUUAAACACUAUGUGAUGGGGUGACAAAGUAAGUGAAGCUAGCGAUCUGUUGGAUGAUCGUUUUGCUACGUGGUAGAUAGAUAGGUAAAUCCGUCUAUAUAAUACUAGAUAGCAAACAAGGGGAAACUUCGGUGGAACCGAUGUGGUGAAUCAAGCUUUCAAGAAAUAGCCCCUAAUCUGUGUUUAAAGACCGUACCAAAACCGACACAGGUAGGUAGGAUGAGUAUUCUAAGGCGCGCGAGCUAACUCUCGUUAAGGAACUCGGCAAAUUAUCUCCGUAACUUCGGGAGAAGGAGAGCCCAUUUGGGUGAUAGAAUUUACUUCUUGAGCUCCAAUGGGCCGCAGAGAAAUGGUCCAGGCGACUGUUUAACAAAAACACAGCACUAUGCAAAGUCAAUAGACCAGGUAUAUGGUGUGAAGCCUGCCCAAUGCCCAAAGGUCAAAGCAAGGUGUUAGUCUUCGGACAAAGCACUGAACUUAAGCCCGGGUGAAUGGCGGCCGUAACUAUAACGGUCCUAAGGUAGCGAAAUUCCUUGUCGGGUAAGUUCCGACCUGCACGAAUGGCGCAACGAUCUGGACACUGUCUCAACGAGAGGCUCGGUGAAAUUGUAGUAGCCGUGAAGAUGCGGUUUACCCGCGAUAAGACGGAAAGACCCCGUGAACCUUUACUGUACUCUGAUAUUGGCUCUUGACUUGAUAUGUGUAGGAUAACCGGGAGGCUUUGAUCAAGGUUCGUUAGGAUCUUGUUAGCCAUCCUUGAAAUACCGGUCUUAUCAGGUUGAGAAUCUAACAAUACCCCAUGAAACUGGGGAUUGGACAUUGUCAGACGGGCAGUUUUACUGGGGCGGUAUCCUCCUAAAGAGUAACGGAGGAGUCCAAAGCUUACCUCAUCGUGGUUAGUAAUCACGAAUUGAGCGCAAAGGUAUAAGGUAAGUUGACUGCGAGACCUACAAGUCGAGCAGCUGCGAAAGCAGGGCUUAGUGAUCCGGCGGUAGAGAGUGGAAUCGCCGUCGCUCAACGGAUAAAAGGUACUCCGGGGAUAACAGGCUUAUCGCCACCAAGAGUUCAUAUCGACGUGGCGGUUUGGCACCUCGAUGUCGGCUCAUCGCAUCCUGGGGCUGGAGAAGGUCCCAAGGGUUUGGCUGUUCGCCAAUUAAAGCGGUACGCGAGUUGGGUUCAAAACGUCGUGAGACAGUUUGGUCCCUAUCUGUCGCGGGCGAAGGAUACUUGAGAGGAGCUGCUCCUAGUACGAGAGGACCGGAGUGGACGAACCAAUGGUGUGCCGGUUGUACUGCCAAGUGCAUAGCCGGGUAGCUAUGUUCGGAAAGGAUAAGCGUUGAAAGCAUCUAAACGCCAAGCCUCCCUCAAGAUUAGGUAUCCCUAUGAGAUCCCUUGAAGACUACAAGGUUGAUAGGUUGGAAGUGUAAGCAUAGCAAUGCGUUGAGCUUACCAAUACUAAUUGAUCCAUCGGCUUAAUC